RNAcentral lists this ribosomal RNA (292 nucleotides) under uncultured bacterium. RNAcentral describes it as "partial 16S ribosomal RNA". It matches the Rfam family "Bacterial small subunit ribosomal RNA", at positions 505 to 796 of the family's 1533-position model. The record is from RNAcentral.
GUGCCAGCCGCCGCGGUAAUACGUAGGGGGCAAGCGUUGUCCGGAUUUAUUGGGCGUAAAGCGCUCGCAGGUGGUCCGUCGCGUCGUGCGUGAAAGCCCCCGGCUCAACUGGGGAGUGUCGUGCGAUACGGGCGGACUGGAGGCCAGUAGGGGGAUGCGGAAUUCCGGGUGUAGUGGUGGAAUGCGUAGAGAUCCGGAGGAACACCAGCGGCGAAGGCGGCAUCCUGGACUGGUCCUGACACUCAUGAGCGAAAGCGUGGGGAGCGAUCCGGAUUAGAUACCCCUGUAGUCC